This 200-nucleotide unclassified non-coding RNA is filed under the name Tomentella sp. RNAcentral describes it as "partial internal transcribed spacer 2". Lineage: Eukaryota; Fungi; Basidiomycota; Agaricomycetes; Thelephorales; Thelephoraceae. The record is from RNAcentral.
UUAAGUUCAGCGGUAGUCCUACCUGAUUUGAGAUCGAACGUUCAAAAGGCUGUCUUCACUGAGGAGAGACGUUUGUGAGCUCCAGCAAACCCCCAUUGUGGAAGGUUACCUGGCAGACAGUCACGAGCGUAGAUAGUUAUCACACCUGCGACGCCACCAAACACUGGAAGGCUGAUUCAUUUGAGAGGAGCCGACCCACA